UUACGGGUGCAAAUCCCGUCCCGGCAAAAGUCGUCCCGUCCGGGUGCUAUCUCAGCGAUGGUUGAGGAAACGAAGCUGUCGGAGCCUGAUAGAAACAAGGCAGUGAAAGACUGUCUGCAAACUGGUAAGCCAUAACGCGA
Lentisphaerae bacterium GWF2_50_93 is the source of this 140-nucleotide non-coding RNA. Lineage: Bacteria; Pseudomonadati; Lentisphaerota. The record is from Rfam.